AAUUAGGUGGCAAGAGAGCAGAGGGACUUUUGGAAAAAAAAGGAAAGCACAAAAAUACUCUUUCUACAUAGAGAUCUCCUUGGCGUUAUGAAUGAUGAAUCUGCAGGACUCUCUUGGGAUGAUAAACAACAUGCAUGAUGAGGAAAUUAAAACUUGAAGAGGUUAAGGAAUUUUCCAGGGACUGUGAAGCAAGCCUGGGAAGUUUUGAGGGGAUGAUUGAGAUGAUAUUAAUAAUGCAAUAAACAGGCAUCAAUAAACUUUUUUUGUAAAAGGCAAAAUAGUAAA
Non-coding RNA from Heterocephalus glaber (naked mole-rat), 285 nucleotides. NCBI's taxonomy places the organism in Eukaryota, Metazoa, Chordata, Mammalia, Rodentia, Bathyergidae. The record is from RefSeq and is a predicted model, not a curated record.